UGCAUUGUCUGUUUGGUGUUCAUCAAAGGGAAUGAGAAAAUACAUGGAUGCGUGAUGUCAUCUGGGUAGAAUUUGGCUAACUGUUUUCACCAACAAUUUUGUAAUGUAAAUGAGCAUGGACGACCAAUAUCUCCCUUGCAAAGAAAGUAGAAGUUUCUCAAGUUGAUUACCCUCAGUAGCUUCUCAGGUAAGGAUACCUCUGCACAAAUAAAAAUAGUUGUAAACGAACAAUGACAUUUGAGCC
Molecule: long non-coding RNA, 244 nt
Filed under: Gallus gallus (chicken)
Lineage: Eukaryota; Metazoa; Chordata; Aves; Galliformes; Phasianidae
Description: long non-coding RNA NONGGAT006675
Source: RNAcentral